AACGAACGCUGGCGGCAUGCCUAACACAUGCAAGUCGAACGAGACCUUCGGGUCUAGUGGUGCAUGGGGGCGUAACGGGUGGGAACCUGCCCUUAGGUGCGGAAUAACUCCCCGAAAGGGGUGCUAAUACCGGAUAAUAUCUUCUGACCCAAGAUUUAUCGCCUUGGGAGGGGCCCGCGUUGGAUCAGCUAGUUAGUAGGGUAAAAGCCUCCCAAGGCGACAAUCCGUAGCUGGUCAUAGAGAAGGAUCAGCCACACUGGGACUGGGACACGGCCCGGACUCCUACGCGAGGCGGCAGUGGCGGAUAUUGGACCGUCGGCUGAAGCAUGAACCGCCAAUGCCGCUUGAGUGAUGUUGUCCUUAGAGUAGUAAAGCUCUUUUAACCGGGAUGAUCAUGACGGUACCGGGAGAAUAAGCUCCGGCUAACUCCGUG
RNAcentral lists this ribosomal RNA (433 nucleotides) under uncultured bacterium. RNAcentral's name for it is "partial 16S ribosomal RNA". It matches the Rfam family "Bacterial small subunit ribosomal RNA", at positions 29 to 507 of the family's 1533-position model. The record is from RNAcentral.